AUUAAAUUAGGAUAAGAAAUUUUUGAAUCCACUGUGUUUAAUUAGCUGUUGAUGGCUUCAUUGCUCAUGGCUAUGCGUUGAAGCAAAGCCGUUUCUUUCAUUUACAUUCACUUAUUCUGGAUAUUUUAUUAAGUGAUUGUUAUUAUUGGAAGCUUUAUCGGAGAUAUUAAGCAUCUGUCCUUUCUCUUUAACAUUGCACCCUAUGGCUGUUAUUGAAGUGAAAGAGAGUUGAGUUGAUUACCUUGUCAACGGGAAUUCUGUUUUAUGUUCCACACCCAGGAUAUGACAUUAUCUGGAAUCCUG
This 303-nucleotide unclassified non-coding RNA is filed under the name Hevea brasiliensis (rubber tree). The record is from RNAcentral. Lineage: Eukaryota; Viridiplantae; Streptophyta; Magnoliopsida; Malpighiales; Euphorbiaceae.